Ctenopharyngodon idella (grass carp) is the source of this 714-nucleotide long non-coding RNA. RefSeq lists it as uncharacterized. Lineage: Eukaryota; Metazoa; Chordata; Actinopteri; Cypriniformes; Xenocyprididae. The transcript is spliced from 2 exons. The record is from RefSeq and is a predicted model, not a curated record.
CACACAGAGGACAAACACAGGAACUACACAUGUGCUCAAAACUGACUUAUGACUGAAAUCAGAGUGUCAAAUCUAACAAUAAUGGUGCCAUAUGUUGUUUUGUUUUGUACAUUAAACUACACUAAAGUCAUGGUGUAUCAGUAACAUAAAGAUGUUUAUCAAGCAGCUCCUUCAUCUAAAGCUGUUUAUAAAUGUAUUACUCAUAACUCAUUUCUCAUGAGCAGAAGUGAAAGUGUUCCAGUUCAGAGCGUUGAACCAAUCAAAGAGUGAAACUGUGAGUUUGAGGUGAAAAUCACAUUUGCAUUGGCAGGUUUAGUGAUUGUGAUCCUCUCAGAAUAGAGCAGCUCCGUCUCCAGUGACCAUGUUCAAACCCCAAGAGCUUCAUUUGACAUUUACUGCUAAAUGCAGCUGUUCUCAACUAUUACAAUCAAUCAAAAGCAGCUGAAACUUUAGUGCAGGACUUUGAAUGAACGACACACUGAUCAAUGAUGCAGUCGGACACAAAUGUAACGCGUUCAGAAGCUUUAUUGAAUGAACAGCAAUGGCAGCACAUUGAAAGACUGCUUCAGUAUUGAGCUGUAAAUCACGUGACUGCCGUGAAUCCUGCCGGACGCUCAGAUACGGCUCGUCUCGACUGGAGAAACAUCAGCACUCGGAGCUCUUGAGGAACGAGGCCUCGUGAUCAGCUCCGUCAUGUCUUACUCUGCAGACGAA